UACGUAGGGGACGAGCGUUGUCCGGAAUUACUGGGCGUAAAGGGCGCGCAGGCUGCGUUACAAGUCAGCUGUUAAAUGCAUGGGCUUACCCCAUGAGUGCGGUUGAAACUGUAGUGCUAGAGUACUGUAGAGGCAAGCGGAAUUCCCAGUGUAGCGGUGAAAUGCGUAGAUAUUGGGAGGAACACCGGUGGCGUAGGCGGCUUGCUGGACAGUAACUGACGCUGAGGCGCGAAAGCCAGGGGAGCAAACGGGAUUAGAUACCCU
RNAcentral lists this ribosomal RNA (264 nucleotides) under uncultured prokaryote. Its description in RNAcentral is "partial 16S ribosomal RNA". It matches the Rfam family "Bacterial small subunit ribosomal RNA", at positions 524 to 788 of the family's 1533-position model. The record is from RNAcentral.